UACGUAGGGCGCAAGCGUUGUCCGGAAUUAUUGGGCGUAAAGAGCUCGUAGGCGGUCUGUCGCGUCCGUUGUGAAAACUCGAGGCUCAACCUCGGGCUUGCAGUGGAUACGGGCAGACUAGAGUGCGGUAGGGGAGACUGGAAUUCCUGGUGUAGCGGUGGAAUGCGCAGAUAUCAGGAAGAACACCGAUGGCGAAGGCAGUUCUCUGGGCCGUAACUGACGCUGAGGAGCGAAAGCGUGGGGAGCGAACAGG
RNAcentral lists this ribosomal RNA (253 nucleotides) under uncultured bacterium. RNAcentral's name for it is "partial 16S ribosomal RNA". It matches the Rfam family "Bacterial small subunit ribosomal RNA", at positions 524 to 776 of the family's 1533-position model. The record is from RNAcentral.